UACGUAGGGUGCAAGCGUUGUCCGGAAUUAUUGGGCGUAAAGAGCUCGUAGGCGGUCUGUCACGUCGGCUGUGAAAACCCGAGGCUCAACCUCGGCCUGCAGUCGGAGUACGGGCAAACUAGAGUACUGCGAGGGGAGACUGGAAUUCCUGGUGUAGCGGUGAAAUGCGCAGAUAUCAGGAGGAACACCGGUGGCGAAGGCGGGUCUCUGGGCAGUAACUGACGCUGGAGGAGCGGAAAAGCGUGGGGAGCGAACAGG
Molecule: ribosomal RNA, 258 nt
Filed under: uncultured bacterium
Lineage: Bacteria
Description: partial 16S ribosomal RNA
Rfam family: Bacterial small subunit ribosomal RNA
Source: RNAcentral